UACAGGGGAUGCAAGCGUUAUCCGGAAUGAUUGGGCGUAAAGCGUCUGUAGGUGGCUUUUUAAGUCCGCCGUCAAAUCCCAGGGCUCAACUCUGGACAGGCGGUGGAAACUACCAAGCUGGAGUACGGUAGGGGCAGAGGGAAUUUCCGGUGGAGCGGUGAAAUGCGCAGAUAUCAGGAGGAACACCGAUGGCGAAGGCAGGUCUCUGGGCAUUAACUGACGCUGAGGAGCGAAAGCAUGGGGAGCGAACAGG
RNAcentral lists this ribosomal RNA (253 nucleotides) under uncultured bacterium. Its description in RNAcentral is "partial 16S ribosomal RNA". It matches the Rfam family "Bacterial small subunit ribosomal RNA", at positions 524 to 776 of the family's 1533-position model. The record is from RNAcentral.